This 388-nucleotide ribosomal RNA is filed under the name uncultured eukaryote. RNAcentral's name for it is "partial 18S ribosomal RNA". It matches the Rfam family "Eukaryotic small subunit ribosomal RNA", at positions 592 to 976 of the family's 1831-position model. The record is from RNAcentral.
CAAUAGCGUAUAUUAAAGUUGUUGCAGUUAAAAAGCUCGUAGUUGGAUUUCUGAUCGAGACAUCAGGUCGGGUCCGAGAGGAUCAUGUACUUUGAUUUUGUUUUGAUCAUCCUUGGGGAGAGCAUUUCUGGCAUUCAGUUGUCGGGAUUGGGAUCCUCAUCGUUUACUGUGAAAAAAUUAGAGUGUUCAAAGCAGGCCUCGGCCUCUGAAUACAUUAGCAUGGAAUAACAAGAUAGGACUUUGGUGGUCUAUUUUGUUGGUUUGCACGCCAAAGUAAUGAUUAAUAGGGAUAGUUGGGGGUAUUCGUAUUCAAUUGUCAGAGGUGAAAUUCUUGGAUUUAUGGAAGACGAACUACUGCGAAAGCAUUUACCAAGGAUGUUUUCAUUAA